Molecule: long non-coding RNA, 1164 nt
Organism: Uranotaenia lowii
Lineage: Eukaryota; Metazoa; Arthropoda; Insecta; Diptera; Culicidae
Exons: 3
Source: RefSeq, a predicted model, not a curated record
UGGGAAGUGACAAGAAAUAUACACCAUCUAUUGUCUGAUUUUCAUCGUUCCGGAAGUUUUGCUGAUCCAUCGGAAUCGUUCCCGGAUGAGCAUGGAUGACAGAUUGUUUGCUAAAAUAUUCAACAGUUUCCAUUUGUCCGUCAGCGUCUUUUGAUUGAGUGUUUCAUUCAGUCUUGUGAUGAGAACAGUUGGGCGAUAGUAGGACACUGAAGACAAUUCAUCCAUUUUCCCUCGACAGUAAGUGAAGUGACAUUGUGAUCAGUGAUUGUUUCUUGCGUUCAGCAGUUGAUGUUUAGAGCAUGUGUACAAAAGAUAUCAUAUCGUUUGGAGAUAACAUCGGGAAAAACCCCUUCGAAGAAAAGAAAUCAUAUGACGUGCAGUGCAGAUUAGAGAAAAGCACGAGAACCGAUUCAAAAUUUGGAAACUACCGAAAGUGACAGACAGCAUCAUCUGCUUGCAGAGCAUCGAUCAAAGACCAGGAUUCACAUCGAGAAUUUAUAUUAAAUGCCUUCUUUCCAUAACCGAUAGAUCCAAUGAUUGAAUAAUCAUGGAAUUUGCUUUACAGAUGCAUUCAUAAGAUUUUAUGCUUUUUGACUCUUAUUUCAGCGAUGAUUUUCAGCAGCGUUGCUCUUACUGCCCCGCAGAGAGUGCUCCUGCUACUUGCCCGCCGGAUUGUUUCUGCAAGCGUCCACCAGAUGACAGCCAAUCUGAUCGAGUUUAAACAUACGUAACGGUGCAAUUUGAGGACUGAUUGUCUUUGCAAUCAAUUUGAAAUCUUAUCGCUCCACUCAACACGAACGGUGCAGAUAAAAUUUUCUUUCAAGUUAAAUUCAUUGUUGGAGAACCCAAUUUUCUACAGAGAAAAGUGAUGUAAAAAAUAUAAAGGAAUAUCUUAACAUUUUGAAAUUGUGACAAAAAAAACUAACAUUUAAAUAACUGUAGUUCAAUACCAAUUUCUAGCGUAAAUAGCAACAAGCUUCAUACAAUCAUCGUAAAAGCUUUUAAAUCAAACAAAUUUCAACUUACAGUGCUGCAGAAUUCGAUGUUUGCUUACGUGAAACUUAGGUGUACACAUUAUUAGUAGUGAAAAUGUUCUAUCCAUUGUCGGUGUAACAUAAUAUUAAAAAUUAAAUUUACUCUCUAAUAAAUAAAUACAUAACAUGA